Silurus meridionalis is the source of this 3211-nucleotide long non-coding RNA. RefSeq lists it as uncharacterized. The record is from RefSeq and is a predicted model, not a curated record. NCBI's taxonomy places the organism in Eukaryota, Metazoa, Chordata, Actinopteri, Siluriformes, Siluridae. The transcript is spliced from 2 exons.
CUCUGAGUUACGACAGUUUUAAUGGUACCCUAAAGGUCAUCUUAAAGGUUGAAAACCUGAACAGGGGACCGAGCAUCCUGUGGGCUGCAGACGCUGGCAACAAAAUUCAGAGAAAAAAGGAACAUGGCUGCUGGUGAACAUAGGUGGCUCCUGCGAAGCAUGCUUACAUCGACGCAUGUGCUGAGGGGUAUCGAUUCGCCUUUGACACAUUCAGAGGUCCCUGCGAUGCUUGUGAUGUCCUCGUCUUCGAACUUCAAACGCAUUGCCUAUGGUGCCUGGAUUGAGACACCUGCUCCUUGAGGGAACAGUGUCAUGAUGGACCUCACGAGUGGUACGGUUUUCCUCCAAUACAGGACGAAUUCGUUUGAAAAAAUGAUGAGGACUCGCGCAGACCGGUGAUCACCAUUGUGCAACACGCAGAUAUGUUUUCCCAAGAGGAAAUGUGGCUGUACUCCGUCCAGAACUCUGUCUAUGAUCUUCCUGGUGGACUUCAGCUGAUCACCCGUAUCUUCCUCGUGCGAGGGCUAGUUCUCUUGCCGAAUCAUUUGGAGUUCUUCCCCGUGCACUAGGUGCCACAAGCACUUACAGUUUCCUGUUUUUAGAAUUUGUCAUUCAACGCACCUUUGUAAUGUACUAUACCAUCACCCUCGGUGGCUUGUUUUAUGGACAACGGAACCAGCGAAACAACAGGAUUGGGAUUGUUGUCCUAUCCUUUCGCGUAAACGUUGCACACUCAAAAUGGACUCAAGCGUGUUCUCGUCGAGACUUUACGACGCUCGUCUCAAGUGUCACAGGGGAGUGUGGUGUUAGUUGCGGGCUGGCCGUCCUAUAGCAGCUCCCCUGUCGCAAUGGAUUUAACGCAUGUCUCCCGUUCCAUAGUUCUGCCACAUUUCUACAGACUACAUAGUUUUUUGUGUUUUCAUUCUCUUUUGUUUUCUUAUGUUUUAUGUUUUAGGUACAAUCACGACUGAGGAUGACCUUGGUGGUGAGUCCACUGUCGUGCCACUGGCGGGCAGAGUGGGAAUUUUCCCUGAAAAUUGGCCGCUGUCAGGGUUUUUCGCCCACUCCUAGUUCAUGUUGUGAUUAGGCAUAUCUGAUGCUGUUAUGAGGGUGGGACUAAUGUGAUUUAACGUCGAUUUUAUAAUGUUGAUUUUCAUUUUAUGUUGAUUUAGUUUUUUACUGAUUUUAAUCGUUUUUGUUUUUUUAGGUUUACUCGUCAAAUUCACUGAUUUUAAGAUUUUAGGUAGUUUUUCACAGAUUUUUUAUUUAGUCGAUUUUGAAGAAUGAUUUGUGUUAUCACUGAUUUUAAUCGAUUUCACUGGUCUUAGGUAGGUUUUGUGUUUUCAUGGUUUUAGUAGAUUCUUUUUUGAGUUUGGGUUUCCUGACCAAGUCAAUUUUGAAGUGGUUGUUUUUGUUUUACAUUUUGCUUUUAUUUUCAAUUAUAGUAGAUUGUGUACUUAUAAUUAUUUUACUUUGAUCACCAUGGACGUCGUGCUACAACGGACUUUUGGAUUCAAAUCCUCGGAUCAACAUGUGGAUUUUUCGGUUUUCUUUUAUGGACGUCAACAUGAGUACCUGGUCAAGUGCUAGUAACCUCUUCCACGGCUCCAACGAGACCCCCUGCGAUACGCAAAGUAUCUGGGUCAGAAGAAAACCAUAUGUGCCAAAGAACUCAAUACAUAUAUGUGGGAAAAAAAAAUUUGUUUUUACUUUUGUGUUACAUGACAUGUAUGGUUGGUGAUGGGUUAAAACGGAAGUAGGCGGUGUGUGAGACUAAUUAAUCUCAGAGGGGGAGUAAUGUCGAGAAAAAUAUUCUACUCAACCUUAUCUAGCGUGUGUUUUAAUCAAACCAAUAUAAUCCAAAAAAUUUACCUAAUAAUUAGUAUAGAACUUAUUAGAUACAAUAGGAGUAGCUUGUAAAACCUAUUUAUCCUGUAUGUUAACCAAACUCAUGUAACCUGUUUACUCCAAGUAUAAUUAAAAUAUUAAUAAUCAGGCACUUCUGUAGGAGAGUAGAAUAGAGUCUGACUGGUGUGAUGAGUGUGUUGAAGAGACAGAGAACAAAGACAAUGUGUAUUAUUGAGGGAAAAAAGAGCUUGUGAGCCUCAGCAGCUGCAGAAGACACGAGGGAGUACUCAGGUUCAGGUUCAGGGUCGGGUGAAGGUAAGGGAGCAUAAUAAUUGGGUGACAGGACCAGAGAAAUAGGAGAAUAAUCAGUGGGAGACCAGCAUGAAGAAUAAGGAGAAGAUUGUUGUUUUGUUGAAGGAAAACAGUUGUCAUCGUCAAGGAUCUCGUCAUAGGUUUGGUUUUGCUGAUGAGAAACAGCGAAGAGAUCAGACGGAGUCUGUGUGCCCGUAUCACGUGUGAAGGUGCUCAGCACGAUGUGAGGAGGCAGACAGGGGUUCUCUGGAAUAGUUGGGGUUGAGAGGUGUUCAAUAAAUCGAGCAACCUCAGUGGCGAGAGAGAACAGCUGGAAUUGGUGAUACUGUUUGCGGAGAACGCUCCUAAGAGAAGUCCCAGAACGUCUGUGUGGUGACAAAAAGUGACAAAAACUGAUACAUGCACACCAGAAUGAUAGUCUUAUAAAUACAAUCUCCUGCGAUGCUCAACACACUGUAACAAUCAGUUCAGAAAAUACUAAUGAAGUAGAACCCGAGAUCCUCACAUAACCAAGUAGAGUAAUAGAGUCAAACACAUGCGAAUAGAUAAUCUAAUACACUGAUAUAGCUAGAUUUAAUAAAAGUAGAGAAACAAACAGCAUUAUAAAAAGAAUAAAAGCAGAACACUUACACAUUGCAGAUGCAGGAGGACGAAAUAGGCCACAAAAUAAUUGUUCACACGUGAAAGACUGAAGCGAUGUCUGGUUAAACUCAGAGAGAGUGAAGGUUUUAUAUAUAAUUCUUUUAAAUUAAACCAGAGAAAAGGACGAAGAUAAAGGGAAUGGAGGAGAGCAGGAAACCCAAAUAUGGAACCACAAGAAAGGGGUGGAAAACCAAGGCCGAAGAUAAGAGGGAUUGAAAAAAGAAGGCAAAGUCAGGAAAAUAAGGGGAAUUUCGAACUUAGAAAAAAGCAAAAGACACCAGGUGUCUCCAGGGUAUAAAUGAGUGUCAGCAAAAUGCAUGUGUGCUUGAUCAUUUUGAUGUGAUGAAGUGACCACCUUCUAUGUGCUCAUUAGAACGUGACUGGAAUAAAGAAGUUUUGCUUUUAUUCA